ACUGAUAAGAAUCUAAUCUGAAGAAUUUAAUGAGUCUUCCAGUUCUUGUAUUGUCCAGACAGCUCAGCUUCGGAUGUUAGUGACUUCUUGCCACAGCAGGCCAUUUAUUACAUCCCUGUUUUUUUUUCGGACAUGAAGUUCCACUACAGUAUACGUGUGACCUUGAUCCAACACAACCAGACACACACGUCUCUCCUCAGCAGACAGCAGAAAAGACGCCUACAUUGAGCUGUAAUUAGCCUUAAUUAUUAAAUGGAACUAGACUGAGACCUGUGAGACACAGAGAGAUCUGUGUCUGUCUUUAAACGGCUCAUUCAAGACAACAGAUAACCAAAACAAUAUGGCCUGCUCUGCUCCAGCAGAAUGUUUAAUUAAAUAGUGUGAACUGGCGAGACUCAGACAUUAGAUUAUUUGGAGCAGAAACCAGAGAUAAAAUGCUUGUCCUAAAACAGACUAAACAAACCUUUUUAGCCGAAGUGAAUGGCUGAUUUCUUAAUUGUAAUUGAUGGAGAAAAUGCUUGAUUUGAUUUGUGUUUGUUUUCUGCAGCCACACAUCAGAUCAGAGUUGAUGUUUGUACUCACUCUUUUACUUGUCUGACCUGAUAGAAAUUCAAAAGGAUCUGUUGCUUUGAAGAUAAGCGCUGUAGUUCGGCCAUAAACAAUGAUUGUGCUGUUU
This is a long non-coding RNA of Etheostoma cragini (Arkansas darter), 676 nucleotides long. RefSeq lists it as uncharacterized. The record is from RefSeq and is a predicted model, not a curated record. The transcript is spliced from 3 exons. Lineage: Eukaryota; Metazoa; Chordata; Actinopteri; Perciformes; Percidae.